This 74-nucleotide transfer RNA is filed under the name Halomonas sp. PA5. RNAcentral's name for it is "tRNA-Val". The stretch from base 6 to 64 matches the Rfam family "tRNA", at positions 8 to 63 of the family's 71-position model. From Rfam's summary of the family: Transfer RNA (tRNA) molecules are approximately 80 nucleotides in length. The record is from RNAcentral. Lineage: Bacteria; Pseudomonadati; Pseudomonadota; Gammaproteobacteria; Oceanospirillales; Halomonadaceae.
GACCAUAGCUCAGUUGGUUAGAGCGCCACGUUGACAUCGUGGAGGUCAGCGGUUCAAAUCCACCCUCCUGGUCG